AGCUAUAGGCGGCACCACGAGCGGCAAAACACGCCGCAAAACUACAAAACAUGCAGAAACAUAAACGCGGAUCGACGUUACAAUGGCAUUCUUCGAGGUUCGACGAGUUUAUCUGAUUUUGUGGUGAUUUCUGGAUAUGUGGGGCACACUGGCAACGAGUCCGUACAGCGUCACGGGAAGUUUCCAUCUGAAAGAUACGGCACAACCAACUCAAGAUACUGAUAUUACGAGUUCAUUAAUACCACAAGGACAUUUGUUAAAAGAUGUCAGCCAAAGUGAGAGGAAAACAAUGGACAAGCAAUUGUCAGAAGAACGCGAACGUUCCGGGAGUUUGGAUACUACAAAAUUAUUGUCUGAGAAUGAUAUUAAAUGUGAUCAAAGUAAUAAAUCACAAAGCAAUCAUUUGGAAGCUAACAAAUCACUUCAAGAAAUUUUUCCUUGGCUUAUUAAAUUCACCAAAAUUAUGUGUUCUGCGGUUGGUAAUAAAAGCUACCAGCUUUUGGAGCGGUUACUGUCCAUUUAUAUAGAGAAUGUAUCCAAAGAUGUAAAUACAUGCUACUCUAAGCCUUAUAGAGCAGCUAAACUAAAGAAUCAUAUGAAUAAUACUCUUACAUUUUUUCAUUUUUACUGGCAAGACGUAAAAGAGGGAGUGAAUGAUCACAGUUCAUAUUUGGAUAAGAUGUCUGAAAUAGUUGGAUUGUAUAUGGAUAUGGAGCUUAAAGCAUCCAAAAGGGGAAAAGAUUCAUGUCUUAAAGUUGCCGCAAAACUCCUCACUGCUCUGCACAUAUUUCUAGAAAACUCGGAGGAACAUACAUUCAAAGUAUUGUUCAGAGCAAAAUUCAUCACAAAGAAGUACAGUGACAUAUUUGACCUUAUUUUCACGAAAUGUUUUGCAAGCGUAUCAAAGAACAUAGAGCCAAUGUCGGACGUGACGUAUGUGCGCUACUUGCUUGCUUUGAAGUUAUGGAAAAAGAUCAAGAAAGAUUCCCGUGACAAAAAGAAGAUCAACGAAUUAGCUCUGUCCAAAUUGGGUCCGUUGGUACCCAACGUGGGCUCGGAGUUGGCGAAAUUUAUUCCGAAACCACCAAAGUGUCAUAAAAGCCGAACAUUAUCUUUAAUGCAACCGAACUCAUUCGAUUUGAGAAGUGCGUGUGAUAACUUUUUGUCAUUUCAAGAUAAAGAUCUUGUGUCCUUGCCAAAGGAGGAAUCAACGACAAAAGUGAUUGAGAAUAACGUCGUAUCCACUGCAAAGAGAAACUCAUAUCAUCCAGUAUCAAUGGAUCAGCAACAAACUCAGGUAGGAAAUGAGAAUCGUCCAAAAAUCAUGACACUUUGUGAAACUCCAGCGAUUGGAAUAUCUCCGGCUAAGAAGUCGGUGAAAUUGAAGAAGUUCAAGCGAUUAGUACCAAAGUUAAAACCAGGUGAGAUUAUACUGAUUGACUUGAUAAUGGAAGAGGAAGAGAAUAAAGAAACAAAUUUGAGGAAAAAGAAGAAGAAAAAAUGUAAGAAAAAGCCAGAAUGGUUAAGGGAAGGUAAGAAGAAAUUAAAGGCAAAGAAAGAGGCUAAUCUUUCAAAAUCCGACUACUGGAUAAAUACACCGGAUGCGAAACUUACUGAAAAUCAUGACGAUAAUCCAUCCAGUUCUAUUUCCGAAUGCGUGCCAGUAUCUGAGAACAAAGUAACCGAAAGGUACGGAGGUUGUAUGUUGUCAAAUGGCCAAACUAACAAAUCAUUAUGCAACAGUGUCAAGAAAAUCGCUUAUGCCUCAAUGAAUCUGCAGCAAGCAGAGAAAAAGGAAAAAGAUGGAAUAUUGUCGGAAGUAUCUCCUUUGAGGGAUAGUGAAAUGAUUUUGAAUUAUACGAAAUCUCAGGUCAAUAACGACUUGUUUUCUCAGGGAGAAAACUCCGUAGAAGCAAUAGCUUCACCCGCGUUGUGCCAAGACUGUAACCUAACCUCAGAGAUUAUAAAGCAAGAUUCACAUUCAACUAUAGAUAAUAAUACAAUGAAUAGUCUAAAUGUAUCCUAUGAUAACGUUCUUACGAAUUCGUGUAAUCGUCUUCAAGAUUCAUCGAAAGACGUGUAUCGCAUGAAUAGCAGUGAUGGAGUUAUAUCAAAUAAUACAGGAAUAACCAAACCUAAGUCGAAUAAGGCUAUCGAUAAACAGGCUUCUAUUCCAAAUAAAAGCGUAGAAGUAAAUCUGUUGAGUUUUAAUGGAUUAAUGCGCAAUACAGAAGAUAUCAAUGAAUAUAAUUUAGCAGUGACACAGGGGAAGGAGCUACAGGAUAUAGUAGAUCAUAGUACAAUGGAUAAUGAAUCAGCCUGUGAUAAACAUAUAGUUAGCGAGUUCUAUAAUCUUGAUAAAUCUAUGGACAUUUCAAAUUGUAUUAGUGCGUGUGAUUUAUUUGUGAAACCAAAAAAAGUAUGGACCCAAUUUUGGGAUGUAAUACCGGGCGCAUAUCCAACAAGUUUGGACCGAGUUUUGACACAAAGUAUAAUUGAAGGCCAGGACUCUCAAAUCGUAUCACCCGCUAAAAAACUUGGAAAAGCUUCUAGUAGUUUGGGAAUAAGCGAUAUGAGUCUCAUUCAAAAGCACUCGAUAACAGCAACGAGAAAAAUGCGGAUUAAAAAAAUGUAUGAAAACCUGGAGGAGUGUGAAUCGAAGAAUGAUGAUGAUUUAUCCAAUUCGGAGGAUACCUUUAAAUCAUCAUUAUUCAAUGACGCAGAUACAGAAGAAAUUAGGACUCCCAGCAGGAAUGAAGUUGACGAGUUUGAAAAUAUUGAUAUACUGGAUAGUAUAUUGCAUGGAGAUAUGAGUCUACAAGAUAAACAAGAAAUCUUAGAGGAUCCUACUUCGGCCGUACUAGCUUCACCCAACAAGGAUAACUCGACUAAUUUAUUUAAUUGCAUCACAGAUUUUUUUGAACACGGAGAAGUAGAAUCACGCAUGAAAAGAGAGAAAACUUCAGUCUGCAAUUCAAAUUCAGAAUUCUCGAUAGAAUCGUUGCCUGAAGGAAGCCUGGGUACAACUGGCAUAUUAAACUCGUUACUUGACUUUGAAUUAACCAGUAUGAAUUCUCCUCCCAAUGACUUUAUGUAUUCAAACGUACAGACAGUAGAUCCUCGUCUGAUCAGAAUACCGCCCAAAGAUGAAAAUCUUACCACUAAUAGCUCAAAUGGUAGCAUCGAUCUCCUGGCGCAUAAGGAACAGUUGCUCAUCGACUCCAUUAAUGAAAAUGAAGCCUUUUCAAAGAAAACGAAGGAUCCUGUAUUUCUUGAUGAAAGCGACAAUGUUAGUGGGAAGGUGGCUCUGGUAGAAUAUGAUCUGAAUUCAGAUAAGUCAACUUUUGAGAUAUCUGUGCUAUCGGAAGAAGAAACUGUUAUACAAUUAUCUCAACAUGAAUUAGUAGAGGAUCCAAUAACUACUCCCAUAACGCCAUCCACGUGUCAGUCUCCACUGUCAACUCAUUCUGAUAGUGUAACGCCCGAGUUAUCGCGUACGUCCUUAUCUAAAGGUGUUGUUGAACCAGCGCAUGGUUUUAACUCCAUAGCCUUGACUGGAGCACCUUAUCUAUAUUCCAAAGUGGACAACUUGAAAGAAUUUGAAUCUCUCACGGAUUUAAUAACUCCAUCUAGUAACGAAAUCGACACCUGUAUAGAUCUGUCUACAAGUCUUCUCACAGAUUUCACUCCACCUCAAAGUGUUGAUUCGCCGACGUCUCCUUGCAUCUGUGCAACGUCGCCAGGAUCAAUUGAAUCUUGUGCUGAACGAUUCUCUUCGUGUAAUCUCAAACAAAGAACCUUACAUUCCAUGAAGGUGAAGCAAGAACAAGUCAACGAUAUAAAAAAAGAUUUCAUGGCAAAGACAUUUGACCGUCCAAAGAGAGUUUGCAGGGAAAAAGUCAAAAGUGCAAUGGAUACUACAAACGAAAAAAAUUCAGAAGAAACUACAGAAUCUUCAGAUACACAGAUGACUGUAAAUCGGUUAAGAAGACGAGAAGUUGAAGUUGAUGCCCCCUUAACACCUGUCAAAAUAUCCUAUUGCCAUGAUAAAUCAAAUAUUGUCUAUUCACCGCAAUCAGUAUGUAAACAAUUGAAACACAUAGAUUUACGUAAACUAAAUGGGACUACUCAACAAAAUAAGCAAGUGUUGGUUAAUCUAAAUGGAAAGACUACUCCAGCGAUAGUGUUCGAAAGGAGUCCGAAAAAUAAAAAGUUCCUGCAGACUUUACAAGAGGAUGUGCCCAGUCGUGGCAGUGUUCUGUACAAAGCAAGCUCAACUGUUAACACAUCCUCAACAAGAAGUCAGCCGUAUACAGUCCAUUCUAAAUUGGGAGUUGCUGUUAAGCAAAGUAUUAAUCAACCGACUCAAACAAUUAUUAAUACCAAAAGUGGAAAUGUCGCUAAGAUUCCAGAGGAGGUUUCCAGGAUAUCAAGAGCUAAAUGGUCUAUGCGAAAUAAUAAAGUUCAUACAACCAAGUUUGCGAAGGAACAGAAUGUCAGAAGAUCUGUUUCAUCAGCUACGAGCGUCGAAGAGCCAUCUAUGAAGAGAAGGAAGGUCACCUCGAAAUUGUUACCUCACUUAGAAAACGACAGAGUCAUUUUUGCUGUGAAUCAGCAGAAACCUCAAGGAAAAGAAUCCAAAACCAUUCAAAAAGGUAAAUUCAGUAAUAAAUAUAUGCUGGUCGCUUGGCUUUGGAUUCUAGUUUAUUUUAUCGGUCUAACUUUAAAUUCACAUCUUGGAUUUCUUCAUCCUAUGCUGGAUUCGAUCCAUUACUUUUUUCAACUAUUUUUCAUUAAAAUCUAAAUUCGAUAAUGGCAAGCGUACAUGAAUCACUACACGGAAGAAAUGAAUACAACACCGGAAGAUAAAUCAUCAUUGAAGAUCUGAAUCAUCAGGUUAAAGAUGGUUCCUUGGCUUUAAUUUUCUACUUGCACAAAUUUUAUCCUCUUCUUGCAAUUACGUUUGACAUGAAACAAAAAGAACGAAUAUUUCUAUAUAUUACAUUCAGUUAAUUGACAUUUCUAUAAUGAUUAUCGUAGAAGAUACAAUACUGAGCAUCCUGUUAAAUAACAAAGUACUUAAUACUAUAUGUGCCUGAAUCAUAUGCAAAGAUUUAUGCAUAGUAGAUAUAUUAUCAAUGGAAGAUCCUACGCAAAAGCAACUUCCUUGUGAAUUUAUUUAAUGGUCGUCAACCAUUUACGCUAUAUAUAAAAUACACAGAUAAGGAUUUGCGUGCAAAGACAAAACUAAAAGAACUAUCGUCUGAUGGAUAAUGAAUUCCCACGAGUGUCCAUGAAACAGUGAACAUGGUGAAACCAGUGAAUACAUAAAACAAACCAAAUCAGCAUAUUAACCACAAAUCAUUAAUCAACUAUCAUCAUUAUUCUCGUCAUCAUCAUAAUCAUCCACGUGCAACUGUAAGAAUCGCUAAUAUUUAUACAUCAUUGAUUGUAGUCAAUAUUCGUUGUGGCAGCUGAUUAAAAACUCUUCAUCAGAGUUUAAACAUUCACUAUUUUAACCGUCAUCUCAACUGCCUUAUUGAAAAAUUUUUCGAAUGAAAGUUAUUGUUUACACAUAUACAAUUAAUGAUUCGGCUUCAGAUUAGAAUAUUGCCACGAUUUUACUGUAGUACACACUUCUCGAGUUUCGUUGUAUUAGUCAGAAAAAGGAGAUUGAAAAACGAAAGGAAAAAAAGAAUAAGAGAUGUGACAUAUGUCUAUAUAUGUGGUCGUUAUUGUCAGAGACCACUUUGCGCUUGUUUCGCAGUCAUUAAUAUAUGAAAACAAGUCAAGUUCUCAUUAACUGUCAUUACAGAAAGAGAGUUUUGCGUGCAAAAGAACAAUGAAAUUAAUUUUUGUAUCGUAUUACAAUAAUUUACAUUUUAUUCACUUGCGACAAAUAUCCGAAGAUAUAUUGUGAUCGAUCUUAACACGUGUUAUGAAAAUUUCUUCGUUUCCAGAUAUCUUAUGGCAUUAGUGGUUUUAGUCUGCUGAUUGUAAAUAAUGUACAAACACGAUGAGAUUGAGGACAUGUAUUAUUACAUAAGAGUAUACUAGACUGUAUAAUAUGAAUGAUCUCUUGGCAAUUUGUUUAACUCGCAAGGCAUAUGCCUUUGCUGUAAUUGCUCCGUAUAACUGUAAAUAAUUAUUAUCAAUUUGUACAGUAGUAGUACUCUUAUGGUUUUUUUUUUUAGAGAUUACUUUCGUUUCUCCAGAGCGGCUGAAUCGUAUUAAUUUGUUUUACUAAUAAUUCCAAACAAAAAUCAUUCCAUUAGAAGAUACUGAAUAGCUGAACUUAUUAUUUCCAACUAGAUUAUAGUAGAAUAACCAGGAGUGGUUGAUAUUUUAUUAUUUUAUGUCCUUUUCUUUUUCCUUUAACAAAGACUUAAUUAUUUUGGUUACAUUAAUAUUGACUGUUGUACGUAUCGGCAAAUCGUUGCUUACUUUCAUGACAAAUUUUUUUUAACAAUAAACUAUUUUAUUAAUUUUAUAUAAACAUGUUAUCAAAAUCGAGCUUGAAAACGAAUCGAAUAACCAGCUUAGUAAUUUAAUUUGUAUUUGUUUAAUGAACAGUUGACUCACUGUUAUAGAUAUUAAAGCCAUAAAUAUGACUCGAAGCUAUUUCUCAUUAAGUGGACAAACUGGAGUUCUGAUCGAUAUAGACUGAUCUUUUGAUACCUCAUAUUUAGUUAUUUAUUAUAAUUGCGCGAUGUGACAGAGCGAGAUUCUAUGUUGGAUAAUACACCCUACAAUAGCGCAUUUCGUACGAAUUAUGUCUUUUUGGUGUAAACAAUUCUGUUUUUAUUAAUAUCAAAUCCCAUAAUGUUCGCGGAAUAGCUAAGUCUAUUUGCAUUAACGGAUUACUGACUAGAUGAAGCGUUCGACGAUUUGUAGAAUUGAUCAAGUUGAUUUGUACGUAGCGACCCUGUAGUAUUUUAAGAACAAGUUAUGAGUACAAGUAUUAUUUAAGGCUUUACGAUAUUGCAGAUAAAAAGUAAUAUCUAAUAAGAACAAAAAAAGAUCGUAUAUUACUAUAAAAAGAGAAAUUACUAUUAUUAUUUGCAACAACACUUGUGUAUUUUAUAUAAGAUUAGUCAAGAAUAUUUUAUAUAGCCCAUCGCAAGAUACUUUGUAAACUCGUGUAGAGUAUUAUUAUAAUGAACCGUUCAGUUCAAAUGUACACGUCAGUCAUGUUGACAGCUGUCAAAUACUGACUUAUGCAUUUUAACUGAUUAGUCUUUUACAAGUAUAAGAAUACGUUUCCAUUCACUUGACAUUGUCGUAUGAAAUUGUUAAGAAAAGAAAAAAAGAUACCAUUGACUGUUCUACUUAUAAUCAAUAUCAAACGCUGAUUAUUCCGUCACGUUAUUAUAACAGGAAUUUCAAGCGAACGGAUACGUAUUUUAAACGGACACGUUGCCAUAGAAUAAUUUAUAAUCAUACCGCACUCAAGUAUUUACUUAACGGAAUGUCAACAAUGUCCAAAAUCCUGUAAAAGAAGCUCCACUCUUCCAAUAUCUUCCUGAAUAGACCCUCGCGAUAUCUUCCAUACGAAUGUUCCGUUUCUUACUGUAUUAAGAAAGCCAUACAAGAAAACAAAACCCAUGUAACUUCCCUAAGCUAUUAACCACCAUUCAGUAACAGCAGAUGUAAGUUUAUCAAACCCCUAUUUUGUAAUAUAAUAGUACAAAUACUAAAUACGUAGAUGUAUAAAGUUCGUUUUUAUUCCUUGUAGAAGUAGCAUGUACGCCAACGUCGUCCUGGCCGUGACAUAAGAGCGUCUCGAUCACUUUGUAAAAGUAAGGCGUUGCUAGGAAUUAAAAAAAUUAUUCGGCUAAUUAAUCUAAGGAUGAUGAUGUGUAAUAAUAACUAGCCAGAUAUAUACAAUCGGACGUACAGAACUCAAACCAGGUGUUCCGAUAUGCAUGUACGGUCAAGUGAUAUCCUGAAAUAUUAAUUAAUGAAAUUUGCUUGCACGUGCAUACUGGCGUUCGCUUGCUUAAGAAAAUUCACGAUUUGCAAAAAUUCGUGCACGACUAAUUGUGUCGAAGGUGUGUGUGUGUGUAUCUGAUGGAGUUACUGUAAAAAUUGUAAUAAUUACGGGGUAAUAGCAUUCAUUGUGUCCAGGUAGACAGGCGGUACUUGAAUACCUGGGAUGAUCACAUUCAUUCUUUUAUUUCACUUAUCACUGUCGAUGUCGUUUUCAAAGUGUUCCUCUGAUCGUUAUUUUGGUUGGUGGUAGAUUUGAAAAAAAUAAAAACCUCACGACUAACAAAAGCCUUACUUCGCACGUAGUAACAGAAUUGAUAGCGAAAGGUAAACGUAACUUAAAUUCAUUCACAGUCACACCUUUCGUUUAACUUUCGAAAAUUGAUCAAAUAAAAAUCAGAUAAUUUCAUUUUAAUUGAAAUCAUGCGAGAGUCGUAAACAGAUUAUGUUUGUCUGCAUAUUGGAAAAUUAUUUAGUUCAACCUAUUUAUCCUGACACUCCUCUCGUUUGUUCAUGAAAAUAAUUAUAUUAUCAAAUCUCGAUGGUCUUGUUAUUGUUUAUCGAUUUAUUAUUUACUUGGCAUCAGUUCGAUGUAUCGCUUGUGUUCGAUUAUCGACUGCGCAUUUAAGUCGAUUAGAUUUUAUUAUGUGAUUUAUGCGUUUCGCGUAGGUACAAAGUAUUCUAAAUGUCGCAUUAUAUUUGUUUUACCCACAAUGUACAACACUGAGACUGAAACAAUAAAUAUGCAGUUUUCGAUAA
RNA transcript from Cephus cinctus (wheat stem sawfly), 8748 nucleotides. RefSeq lists it as uncharacterized. The record is from RefSeq and is a predicted model, not a curated record. The transcript is spliced from 10 exons. Lineage: Eukaryota; Metazoa; Arthropoda; Insecta; Hymenoptera; Cephidae.